Ipomoea triloba (trilobed morning glory) is the source of this 641-nucleotide long non-coding RNA. RefSeq lists it as uncharacterized. The transcript is spliced from 2 exons. The record is from RefSeq and is a predicted model, not a curated record. Lineage: Eukaryota; Viridiplantae; Streptophyta; Magnoliopsida; Solanales; Convolvulaceae.
UUAGUAAAACUUUAAAAUGUAAUCAUCAGUAGUAAAAUAUGCAAACUAUAUAAUGAUCUUACUGUUUAGAAGAACCUUCACUCUGCAAAACUGAAGUAUAAUGAUAACAGGUUCAUGUUUGGUUGACUGGUAAAAUAGCUCCAGUUUUGAUACAUGAUCAUCCCACAAUGUGCAUUUGAUUUGAUUACCCCUAUUUUUAGUAUUAAUUCACACACUUCAAAAUCUUGCAGAGUAUAUACAACAGGGAGCAGAAAACAUUUUAUAAUCUUACAAGGUGUCUUCAAGUAGAAAAUUGAUCAGCCUAGUAUUCCUGCCAAAUAUGACCUUCUCUUGUUGAACAUCAUAGUAACGUACCAGCCUAAGUUUGAUGGCACUUGUGGUGUUCCUGGUAGCAAUGUCACGACCAAGAAUGUAUAGGGGAGCCAUUGGUAUGACAAAGGUUAUGCUAGGGCUUUGUUUUGAAGUUAUCUGAUAGGGUUUUAAAGAGUGAAGAUGGCAGAUAUAUAUACACCAGAUUAUACCAAUUCAAAAAAUCAAAAAACAAUUGAACAGACUUUGGUUAGCCCAAAAGACGCAUCGUGGACAGUCGAUCUCCAUGUUUAUUAUUUUUGGGAAAUAUAAUCUGUGAUGAUGGUGUUUAA